CCUACGUGGAGCAGCAGUGAGGAAUAUUGGUUAAUGGCCGGAAGGCUGAACCAGCCAUGCCGCGUGAAGGUCAGUGCCCUAUGGGCGUUAAACUUCUUUUGUGCGGGAGCAAUAAUGGUCACGUGUGGCCAGACGAGAGUACCGUACGAAUAAGCAUCGGCUAACUCCGUGCCAGCAGCCGCGGUAAUACGGGGGAUGCACGCGUUAUCCGGAUUUAUUGGGUUUAAAGGGUGCGUAGGCUGUGAGGUAAGUCAGCGGUGAAAUGCCCCCGCUCACCGGGGUGAAGUGCCAUUGAUACUGCCUUGCUGGAAUGCGGAGGCCGUGGGAGGAAUGUGUGGUGUAGCGGUGAAAUGCAUAGAUAUCACACAGAACACCGAUUGCGAAGGCAUCUCACGAAUCCGCGAUUGACGCUGAUGCACGAAAGCGUGGGUAUCAAACAGGAUUAGAUACCCGGGUAGUC
This 460-nucleotide ribosomal RNA is filed under the name uncultured bacterium. RNAcentral's name for it is "partial 16S ribosomal RNA". It matches the Rfam family "Bacterial small subunit ribosomal RNA", at positions 338 to 795 of the family's 1533-position model. The record is from RNAcentral.